UACGUAGGAUCCAAGCGUUAUCCGGAAUUACUGGGCGUAAAGCGUGGGCAGGUGGCGAUUUAGGUCAGAUGCGAAAUCUUGCGGCUCAACCGUAUAGACUGUAUCUGAAACCGAGUUGCUAGAGGUUGGUAGAGGCAAGCGGAAUUUGUAGUGUAGCAGUGAAAUGCGUAGAUAUUACAAGGUACACCAAUGGCGAAGGCAGCUUGCUGGGCCACACCUGACACUCAGUCACGAAAGCGUGGGGAGCGAACGGG
This 254-nucleotide ribosomal RNA is filed under the name uncultured prokaryote. Its description in RNAcentral is "partial 16S ribosomal RNA". It matches the Rfam family "Bacterial small subunit ribosomal RNA", at positions 524 to 776 of the family's 1533-position model. The record is from RNAcentral.